AUACUUACCUAGCAAGGGAGAUGCCAUGGUCACAAAGGUGGUCUUCCCACAGCGAGGUUUAUCCAUUGCACUCCAGAUGUGCUGACCCCCGCGAUUUCCCCAAGUGUGGGAAACUCGACUGCAUCAUUUGUGGUAGUGGGGGGCUGUGUUCAUGCUCUCCUCUG
Myotis lucifugus (little brown bat) is the source of this 164-nucleotide small nuclear RNA. Its record names the gene U1. It matches the Rfam family "U1 spliceosomal RNA". Rfam says of the family: U1 is a small nuclear RNA (snRNA) component of the spliceosome (involved in pre-mRNA splicing). Its 5' end forms complementary base pairs with the 5' splice junction, thus defining the 5' donor site of an intron. The record is from Ensembl. Lineage: Eukaryota; Metazoa; Chordata; Mammalia; Chiroptera; Vespertilionidae.